RNAcentral lists this ribosomal RNA (56 nucleotides) under uncultured fungus. RNAcentral's name for it is "partial 5.8S ribosomal RNA". The record is from RNAcentral. Lineage: Eukaryota; Fungi.
AACUUUCAACAACGGAUCUCUUGGUUCUGGCAUCGAUGAAGAACGAAUCACUAGUG